AUGCAUUCAUCCUCUGUUGCUUCUGACCAAUUUGAUGAUGUUGCAUAUUCUCCUCUAUUGUUGCCUAACCAUGGUGCAGGCACUGGUCGUGGGGCUCGUUUGGAGAUUCUGGAAGUGCCAUCUUCCUCUUCGUCGCCAUCGCCUUCAUCCUCGGCACCUUCUGUUGUGCAUGAGGAGCACAUGGCGCCCCUGCAUGGCCUCGGUUUCCGUGCUCAUGCACGGCCGAUCGACGUCCUGGCCCGGUCGCCUCUGGCUUUUGGGCUGCCUUCGCCAUCGUUGCGCCCUGCAACCCCGCCGACUGGGCCGGCCUCCUCGGUCCCCGUCUCGCCCAGGGCGUCGGGGCAAUCAUCACCAAGCCUGGCCUCGCCCGCCCCUGCCUCACCCAGGGUGUCUGGGCCCUUCUCACCAGGGCCGGCCUCGCCUGCUCUCGCCUCGCCAAGGCCGUCUGGGCCGGUGUCACCGGAGCUGGCCUCGCCCACUCUCGGUUCGCCCAUGGCCUCUGAGCCCCUGUCGUCGGGCCAGUCUUCGCCAUGCAGCCCGGAGUCGUCUGUCCCGAGCUCGCCUGAGGUGAUUCCUGCAUCUCCGGCGACCGUCACGUCUACGUCACCUUCGCCUCCGCCGGCUCCUGCUGCUGCUCUACGUCCACAUACACGCAGUCGGAGUGGCAUUUUUCAGCCUAAGCAACGUCACGAUGGCACAGUUGCUUGGUUAGCGGCGUGCAUGUCUGCUGCUCUCGCAGAUCCAUCCUCUGAGCCACGCACGUAUCAAGCUGCUAUGCGCAUUCCUCAUUGGAGAGAGGCCAUGGAGCAGGAGUAUCAAGCGCUUCUUCGCAAUCAGACAUGGACUCUUGUUCCUCCACAAUCACGGGUAAAUGUCAUUGAUUCCAAAUGGGUUUUCAAAGUGAAGAGGCAUUCUGAUGGGUCCAUUGAACGCUAUAAGGUUCGUCUGGUUGCUCGUGGUUUUCGACAGCGUUUUGGACUUGACUAUGAAGACACCUUCAGUCCAGUGGUCAAGCCUACUACCAUCAGACUUCUUCUCUCUCUGGCUGUUACUCGAGGUUGGUUUCUUCGUCAGCUUGAUGUUCAAAAUGCUUUUCUUCAUGGUGUCUUGGCGGAGGAGGUUUACAUGCGCCAGCCUCCGGGUUUCUCUGAUCCGGAUCGCCCUGAUCAUCUCUGUCGUCUGUCCAAGGCAAUUUAUGGUCUGAAGCAGGCUCCUCGUGCUUGGCAUGCUCGUCUUGCAAUGGCUCUUCGUGCUCAUGGUUUUGCAUCAUCAACUGCUGACUCCUCAUUGUUUCUUCUUCAAAGGCCUGAGGUUACUAUGUACUUGUUGGUCUAUGUAGAUGAUAUCAUUUUGGUCAGCUCCUCUCAGUCGGCUGCUACUGCGCUUGUUCGCUCACUUGGUGCUGAUUUUGCGGUCAAGGACCUUGGGAAGCUUCAUUACUUUCUUGGUGUGGAGGUUACUUUUCGUGCUGCUGGCCUUGUUAUGACGCAGAAGAAGUACUCUCUGGAUUUGUUGCAGCGAGCUGGGAUGCUUAAGUGCAAACCGACGACUACACCCAUGUCUACCACUGAUAAGCUCAAUGUUGUUGAUGGUGUGCUUCUUUCUUCUUCUGAUGCGACAGAGUACAGGAGUAUUGUUGGUGGGCUCCAGUACUUGACGAUCACGCGACCAGACAUUUCCUAUGCUGUUAACCGAGUCUGCCAGUAUCUGCAGUCACCCCGUGACACUCAUUGGUCUGCUGUUAAGCGGAUUUUGCGCUAUAUUCGUUUCACGGUGGCUCAUGGUUUGCAUAUUCGGCCGUCUGACUCUGGUUGUCUUUCAGCAUAUUCUGAUGCAGACUGGCCUGGCAAUCCGGAUGACAGGCGAUCCACGGGGGGUUAUGCUGUCUUCUUUGGCUCUAACCUGAUUGCCUGGAGUGCUCGGAAACAGGCUACUGUCUCGCGUAGCAGUACUGAGGCUGAGUAUAAGGCUGUGGCCAGUGCCACAUCAGAGAUCAUCUGGGUACAGUCCUUGCUUCAGGAGUUAAGUAUACCCCAAUCACAGCCUCCUGUUCUUUGGUGUGAUAACAUCGGUGCUACAUACCUUUCUGCAAAUCCGGUAUUCCAUGCCCGAACGAAACACAUUGAAGUUGACUAUCAUUUUGUGCGUGAACGUGUCUCUCAGAAGCAACUACAGAUCAAGUUUAUUUCUUCCAAGGAUCAACUUGCUGACAUCUUCACCAAGCCAUUGCCUUUGCCACAGUUUGAGACUUGCAGGCGCAAUCUUACCCUUCUAGAUUCAUUAGAAAGUGGCUAA
RNAcentral lists this ribosomal RNA (2295 nucleotides) under Triticum aestivum (bread wheat). Its description in RNAcentral is "partial small subunit ribosomal RNA". Lineage: Eukaryota; Viridiplantae; Streptophyta; Magnoliopsida; Poales; Poaceae. The record is from RNAcentral.